UCGGGAAUUUUGGGCAAUGGGCGAAAGCCUGACCCAGCAACGCCGUGUGAGGGAUGAAGUAUUUCGGUAUGUAAACCUCGAAAGAAUGGGAAGAAUAAAUGACGGUACCAUUUAUAAGCUCCGGCUAACUACGUGCCAGCAGCCGCGGUAAUACGUAGGGAGCAAGCGUUGUUCGGAUUUACUGGGCGUAAAGGGCGCGUAGGCGGCGCGGUAAGUCACUUGUGAAAUCUCUGAGCUUAACUCAGAACGGCCAAGUGAUACUGCUGUGCUAGAGUGCGGAAGAGGCAACCGGAAUUCUUGGUGUAGCGGUGAAAUGCGUAGAUAUCAAGAGGAACACCUGAGGCGAAGGCGGGUUGCUGGGCCGACACUGACGCUGAUGCGCGAAAGCCAGGGGAGCAAACG
Molecule: ribosomal RNA, 402 nt
Filed under: uncultured bacterium
Lineage: Bacteria
Description: bacterial SSU rRNA
Rfam family: Bacterial small subunit ribosomal RNA
Source: RNAcentral